RNAcentral lists this ribosomal RNA (254 nucleotides) under uncultured bacterium. RNAcentral's name for it is "partial 16S ribosomal RNA". It matches the Rfam family "Bacterial small subunit ribosomal RNA", at positions 524 to 777 of the family's 1533-position model. The record is from RNAcentral.
UACAGAGGAGCCAAGCGUUGUCCGGAUUGACUGGGCGUAAAGCGCACGCAGGCGGAUGCGCGCGUGGGGUGUGAAAUCUGGCCGCUUAACGGCCAGGCGCCAUCCCAUACGGCGCGUCUGGAGUGAUGCAGAGGUCGAUGGAAUUGCCGGUGUAGUGGUGAAAUGCGUAGAGAUCGGCAGGAACACCCAGGGGGAAACCAGUCGACUGGGCAUCUACUGACGCUGAGGUGCGAGAGCGUGGGGAGCGAACCGGG